UCCCUGGUGGUCCAGUGGCUAAGACUCCAUGCUCCCAGUGCAGAGGACCCGGGUUCGAUCCCUGGUCAGGGAA
Molecule: non-coding RNA, 73 nt
Organism: Bos taurus (domestic cattle)
Lineage: Eukaryota; Metazoa; Chordata; Mammalia; Artiodactyla; Bovidae
Source: Rfam